CCGAGAUUCCCCCAGUAGCGGCGAGCGAACGGGGAGGAGCCCAGAGUCUGAAUCAGCGUGUGUGUUAGUGGAACGGUCUGGAAAGUCCGGCGAUACAGGGUGACAGCCCCGUACACGAAAGCACACAGGCUGUGAACUCGAAGAGUAGGGCGGGACACGUGGUAUCCUGUCUGAAUAUGGGGGGACCAUCCUCCAAGGCUAAAUACUCCUGACUGACCGAUAGUGAACCAGUAC
Molecule: ribosomal RNA, 234 nt
Filed under: Pluralibacter gergoviae
Lineage: Bacteria; Pseudomonadati; Pseudomonadota; Gammaproteobacteria; Enterobacterales; Enterobacteriaceae
Description: partial 23S ribosomal RNA
Rfam family: Bacterial large subunit ribosomal RNA
Source: RNAcentral